UGUUAAAAUUUUCAUCCAUUUCUAUGGUUAAAAACUAGAAUGGCUGGCAAAAUAACCUAACAGUUACAGGUGGCAUAUGUACCUUAUGCUGACGCAUAUUGACUAAAUUUUAACAGUAGAAAUAAAUGAAUUUUUUAGCG
Gossypium raimondii (Peruvian cotton) is the source of this 140-nucleotide non-coding RNA. The record is from Rfam. Lineage: Eukaryota; Viridiplantae; Streptophyta; Magnoliopsida; Malvales; Malvaceae.